This 251-nucleotide ribosomal RNA is filed under the name uncultured bacterium. RNAcentral's name for it is "partial 16S ribosomal RNA". It matches the Rfam family "Bacterial small subunit ribosomal RNA", at positions 57 to 305 of the family's 1533-position model. The record is from RNAcentral.
GCAAGUCGAGGGGUAACAUUUGUGCUUGCACAAGAUGACGACCGGCGCACGGGUGCGGAACGCGUAUGGAACCUGCCCUUGUCAGGGGAAUAGCCCAGAGAAAUUUGGAUUAAUGCCCCAUGGUACCGGGACGACACAUGUCGACCCGGUUAAAGAUUUAUCGGACAGGGAUGGCCAUGCGUACCAUUAGUCAGAUGGUGGGGUAACGGCUCACCAUAACUACGAUGGUUAGGGGUCCUGAGAGGGAGAUC